ACGCUGGCGGUAUGCUUAACACAUGCAAGUCGAGCGAGAAUCGUUUUGCUGAAGGCUUCGGUCUGACGCAGAAUGAGGAAAGCGGCGAACGGGUGAGUAACGCGUGGGCAACCUGGCCUUAAGAAAAGGAUAGCCCCCGGAAACGGGGAGUAAUACUUUAUGAGAAUGAAAGAGGGCAUCCUACUUUCAUUCAAAGCGCAAGCGCUUAAGGAUGGGCCCGCGUAUCAUUAGCUAGUUGGUGAGAUAACAGCCCACCAAGGCAACGAUGAUUAGCCGGUCUGAGAGGGCGAACGGCCACAUUGGAACUGAGAGACGGUCCAAACUCCUACGGGAGGCAGCAGUGGGGAAUAUUGCGCAAUGGAGAAGAACUCUGACGCAGCAAUACCGCGUGAGCGAAGAAGGUCUUCGGAUCGUAAAGCUCUGUUAUCAGGGAAGAAGAAAAUGACGGUACCUGAUGAGCAAGUCCCGGCUAACUACGUGCCAGCAGCCGCGGUAAUACGUAGGGGACAAGCGUUGUCCGGAAUCACUGGGCGUAAAGGGCGCGCAGGCGGUGAUUUAAGCAGGAUGUGAAAGGCUACGGCUCAACCGUAGACAUGCACCCUGAACUGGGUCACUUGAGUAUUGGAGAGGCAGGCAGAAUUCCUGGUGUAGCGGUGAAAUGCGUAGAUAUCAGGAGGAAUACCGGAGGCGAAGGCGGCCUGCUGGACAAAUACUGACGCUGAGGCGCGAAAGCGUGGGGAGCAAACAGGAUUAGAUACCCCUGGUAGUCCACGCCGUAAACGAUGAAUGCUGGUUGUUGGUCUUUAAAGAUCAGUGACGACGUAAACACGAUAAGCAUUCCGCCUGGGGAGUACGAUCGCAAGAUUGAAACUCAAAUGAAUUGACGGAAGGGCGAA
RNAcentral lists this ribosomal RNA (896 nucleotides) under uncultured bacterium. Its description in RNAcentral is "bacterial SSU rRNA". It matches the Rfam family "Bacterial small subunit ribosomal RNA", at positions 33 to 925 of the family's 1533-position model. The record is from RNAcentral.